Molecule: ribosomal RNA, 542 nt
Filed under: Euryspongia sp. G313066
Lineage: Eukaryota; Metazoa; Porifera; Demospongiae; Dictyoceratida; Dysideidae
Also listed under: 1 other name
Description: eukaryotic LSU rRNA
Rfam family: Eukaryotic large subunit ribosomal RNA
Source: RNAcentral
AACCAGAAGGCGCAAUGAAAGUGAAGGCACGGUCGCCGUGCUGAGGUGAGAGCCGGGGCUCGUACCCUGGCGCAUCAUCGACCGAUCCCAUCCACCCUCACGGCGUGGCGGGAUUCGAGUGAGAGUGUACCUGUUGCGACCCGAAAGAUGGUGAACUAUGCCUGAAUAGGGUGAAGCCAGAGGAAACUCUGGUGGAGGCCCGCAGCGAUUCUGACGUGCAAAUCGAUCGUCAAAUUUGGGUAUAGGGGCGAAAGACUAAUCGAACCAUCUAGUAGCUGGUUCCCUCCGAAGUUUCCCUCAGGAUAGCUGUAGCCCGAAGCAGUUUUAUCAGGUAAAGCGAAUGAUUAGAGGUAUCGGGGAAGAAACUUCCUCGACCUAUUCUCAAACUUUAAAUAGGUAAGAAGUCCGACUUGCUCGACUUGAAGCCGGACACAGAAUGCGGGGUUACUAGUGGGCCAUUUUUGGUAAGCAGAACUGGCGAUGCGGGAUGAACCGAACGCUGGGUUAAGGUGCCAAAGUCGACGCUCAUCAGAUCCCACAAA